ACACUUACCUGGCAGUGGAGAUACCAUGAUCACCGAGGUGGUUUUCCCAGGGUGAGGUUCAUCUAUUGGACUCCAAUGUGCUGACCCCUGUGAUUCCCACAAAUGGGGGAAUCUCCAUUCUAUAAUUUGUAGCGGUGGGGGCCUGCAUGUGCACUCUCUCC
Small nuclear RNA from Heterocephalus glaber (naked mole-rat), 161 nucleotides. Its record names the gene U1. It matches the Rfam family "U1 spliceosomal RNA". Rfam says of the family: U1 is a small nuclear RNA (snRNA) component of the spliceosome (involved in pre-mRNA splicing). Its 5' end forms complementary base pairs with the 5' splice junction, thus defining the 5' donor site of an intron. NCBI's taxonomy places the organism in Eukaryota, Metazoa, Chordata, Mammalia, Rodentia, Bathyergidae. The record is from Ensembl.